Xenia sp. Carnegie-2017 is the source of this 629-nucleotide long non-coding RNA. RefSeq lists it as uncharacterized. The transcript has 5 exons. Lineage: Eukaryota; Metazoa; Cnidaria; Anthozoa; Malacalcyonacea; Xeniidae. The record is from RefSeq and is a predicted model, not a curated record.
GUAUACUUUUUAUACAUUUAUAGAAAUCUUUUGGAUAUGCUUUGUUGAAGAUUAAGAUUUUUUUAUUGCUCAAUUUAAGUCCAUUUGAUUUGAAGCUUUGCUGCGAUAAUACAGCAGAGAAUUAUUCUCAUUAUGAUUCAUUACGAUUCUCAUUAUGACGACAUUCAUCACUAAAUAAAAGAGAACGUUUACAACGUAAUCAUGGACAAAUAAGACUACAUCAACAAAGCGAAGACCCUCUUACAAGACACCAACACGUAUGAACCUCUCCAAACAGACCCCAACAAAACCACUACAAACCGCAUCAACAAGAAAUUAAAACAACUAAAAGCAAAAAGAAACUUAACGAAACCGUCUACAAAAGAAUCCGACCCAACGACUCCUCCACCGCCAAAUUCUAUGGACUACCAAAAAUUCACAAAGAAAACAACCCGCUAUGACCGAUUGUAUCUCUUCCUGGAUCACCAACGAAGAAAUCAAAAUAGCUGUGAUGGUGGAGAUGAGUAUCCUGAUUUCAUGCCUAUUCCUUUCCGCUACGCUGCGAGAAAUUCAAGAGUUCCGAUUGAGUUUGAGGUGUUGCAGAUGAUUGCGAAAAGAAGGGUUUGAUUAAGUUUUCAAGGUAGCUUUUU